Molecule: long non-coding RNA, 444 nt
Filed under: Pan troglodytes (chimpanzee)
Lineage: Eukaryota; Metazoa; Chordata; Mammalia; Primates; Hominidae
Description: lincRNA
Source: RNAcentral
UGCACCCUGCACGUCUGGGCUUGAAGACAGAAAGCCACCGUGAGGUGCUCCAAGGAACACUGAUGGGCAGUUUUGUUAAAGUGAUUGAACUCCGUGGGUACAGGAGUACGUGGAGUAAUGAAGGAUAAUGCCCUGUAACCGCUUCCUCUUAGGAAUGCUAGCUUUCACAAUUGUGCAAACGCAUAAGGAAUAAAACUGUUCUUUUGAAAUGAAGAAGAGAACCACCUAGGAGACUAUCACCCUGACCUGAGGACUUCACUAGGGAUUCAGGAAAGAAGACACAGAAAGAAAGCAAUCCUCAAGGAUCAGAAUGGCCAGCAGGAGGCCAUAUGCACCUAAACCAGAUGGAAGAAAAUGGCCCGGGGUGACCAGCUGGCUCUCUUUAUCAAGCUCAGACUCCUCAAGUCCCCGCUUGGAAGAACAGUCACAGAUUCCAUAUACAGA